GUAAGGUCUACUCCUCUUCCUCUGGCAGAAUUUGCUCCUGGAUUUUGUGGUUCAUUCUUUGGCAAUUUUUUAGCUAUUGCCAUGAAUAUUUCAUUUACAUUCAUUGAUGUUUUAGCGGAUGUCUCCAUGAAUAAUAAACUAUUGUCAUCUGCAUAGGACUGUGCUUCCUGGAAAUCUACUGCUCUUUUAUUUGCUAGGUCGGCCUUGUUUCCCGAUAAAGCUAUUACAAUGUUAGGACUUGCUUG
RNAcentral lists this unclassified non-coding RNA (245 nucleotides) under Hevea brasiliensis (rubber tree). The record is from RNAcentral. Lineage: Eukaryota; Viridiplantae; Streptophyta; Magnoliopsida; Malpighiales; Euphorbiaceae.